GACUUAGUGAUCCGGUGGUUCCGCAUGGAAGGGCCAUCGCUCAACGGAUAAAAGCUACCCCGGGGAUAACAGGCUUAUCUCCCCCAAGAGUUCACAUCGACGGGGAGGUUUGGCACCUCGAUGUCGGCUCAUCGCAUCCUGGGGCUGUAGUCGGUCCCAAGGGUUGGGCUGUUCGCCCAUUAAAGCGGUACGCGAGCUGGGUUCAGAACGUCGUGAGACAGUUCGGUCCCUAUCCGUCGUGGGCGUAGGAAAUUUGAGAGGAGCUGUCCUUAGUACGAGAGGACCGGGAUGGACAUACCUCUGGUGUACCAGUUGUCGUGCCAACGGCAUAGCUGGGUAGCUAUGUAUGGACGGGAUAAGUGCUGAAAGCAUCUAAGCAUGAAGCCCCCCUCGAGAUGAGAUUUCCCAACUUCGGUUAUAAGAUCCCUCAAAGAUGAUGAGGUGAAUAGGUUCGAGGUGGAAGCGUAGCGAUACGUGGAGCUGACGAAUACUAAUCGAUCGAAGACUUAAUCAA
RNAcentral lists this ribosomal RNA (514 nucleotides) under Staphylococcus pseudintermedius. RNAcentral's name for it is "partial 23S ribosomal RNA". It matches the Rfam family "Bacterial large subunit ribosomal RNA", at positions 2409 to 2925 of the family's 2925-position model. The record is from RNAcentral. Lineage: Bacteria; Bacillati; Bacillota; Bacilli; Caryophanales; Staphylococcaceae.